This 432-nucleotide ribosomal RNA is filed under the name uncultured bacterium. RNAcentral describes it as "partial 16S ribosomal RNA". It matches the Rfam family "Bacterial small subunit ribosomal RNA", at positions 29 to 506 of the family's 1533-position model. The record is from RNAcentral.
AACGAACGCUGGCGGCAUGCCUAACACAUGCAAGUCGAACGAGACCUUCGGGUCUAGUGGCGCACGGGUGCGUAACGCGUGGGAACCUGCCCUUGGGUUCGGAAUAACUCCCCGAAAGGGGUGCUAAUACCGGAUAAUGUCUUCGGACCAAAGAUUUAUCGCCUUUGGAUGGGCCCGCGUUGGAUUAGCUAGUUGGUAGGGUAAAAGCCUACCAAGGCGACGAUCCAUAGCUGGUCUGAGAGGAUGAUCAGCCACACUGGGACUGAGACACGGCCCAGACUCCUACGGGAGGCAGCAGUGGGGAAUAUUGGACAAUGGGCGAAAGCCUGAUCCAGCAAUGCCGCGUGAGUGAUGAAGGCCUUAGGGUUGUAAAGCUCUUUUACCCGGGAUGAUAAUGACAGGACCGGGAGAAUAAGCGCCGGCUAACUCCGU